UCCAGUAACCGCCGGCAAACCUACGCUGCUGAUAAGUUGCUGACAUGCUUAGUUAAUUAUAUUAUCACGGUACCUACUUGUAAAUAAAAACAUUGCAGAAGAUUUCUAGACCAGUCAAGAAUUCGAAGGAUUACACAAAACUAAAAAGGAUUCCGAAAAAUGGAAACGUAGGAAAAACAGGGUUAUAGAUAACGUUUAGAGAAAAUAAUAUUUUCGAGAGGAAGAUUUUCUUGGCAAUUUAUACAAAUAUAUCGAAUAAUUCUCAAAAAGUUGCAAAUUUAUCGGUCACUUUUCUCUCUAUUAUAAUAUCAAGAUCAUCUAAUCUAAUGCAGCGAAUCAAAAAUCUAAACCUAUGUAACGAUGUUGUAGUCCAAAAACGUCGACGUUUUCGCCAUCUCUUUCCCAAAAUUUUUUUAUGUUUAGACAUCCACUAUACAGGUUUACACAGGCCAUAUAAAGUAAACCAAUAAAACCUUUUCA
Molecule: non-coding RNA, 480 nt
Organism: Cinara cedri
Lineage: Eukaryota; Metazoa; Arthropoda; Insecta; Hemiptera; Aphididae
Source: the annotation of a GenBank genome assembly